RNAcentral lists this transfer RNA (76 nucleotides) under Ferrimonas pelagia. RNAcentral's name for it is "tRNA-Phe". It matches the Rfam family "tRNA". Rfam says of the family: Transfer RNA (tRNA) molecules are approximately 80 nucleotides in length. Their secondary structure includes four short double-helical elements and three loops (D, anti-codon, and T loops). RNAcentral also lists the same sequence under 3 other names. Lineage: Bacteria; Pseudomonadati; Pseudomonadota; Gammaproteobacteria; Alteromonadales; Ferrimonadaceae. The record is from RNAcentral.
GCCUCGUUAGCUCAGUUGGUAGAGCAGCGGAUUGAAAAUCCGCGUGUCCCUGGUUCGAUUCCGGGACGAGGCACCA